GUUAUAUGGUCAAGUGAAGAAGCGCAUACGGUGGAUGCCUUGGCAGUCAGAGGCGAUGAAAGACGUGGUAGCCUGCGAAAAGCUUCGGGGAGUCGGCAAACAGACUUUGAUCCGGAGAUCUCUGAAUGGGGGAACCCACCUAGGAUAACCUAGGUAUCUUGUACUGAAUCCAUAGGUGCAAGAGGCGAACCAGGGGAACUGAAACAUCUAAGUACCCUGAGGAAAAGAAAUCAACCGAGAUUCCCUUAGUAGUGGCGAGCGAACGGGGAUUAGCCCUUAAGCUUCAUUGAUUUUAGCGGAACGCUCUGGAAAGUGCGGCCAUAGUGGGUGAUAGCCCCGUACGCGAAAGGAUCUUUGAAGUGAAAUCGAGUAGGACGGAGCACGAGAAACUUUGUCUGAACAUGGGGGGACCAUCCUCCAAGGCUAAAUACUACUGACUGACCGAUAGUGAACCAGUACCGUGAGGGAAAGGCGAAAAGAACCCCGGAGAGGGGAGUGAAAUAGAACCUGAAACCGUAUGCGUACAAGCAGUGGGAGCCUACUUGUUAGGUGACUGCGUACCUUUUGUAUAAUGGGUCAGCGACUUAUAUUCAGUGGCAAGCUUAACCGUAUAGGGUAGGCGUAGCGAAAGCGAGUCUUAAUAGGGCGUUUAGUCGCUGGGUAUAGACCCGAAACCGGGCGAUCUAUCCAUGAGCAGGUUGAAGGUUAGGUAACACUGACUGGAGGACCGAACCCACUCCCGUUGAAAAGGUAGGGGAUGACUUGUGGAUCGGAGUGAAAGGCUAAUCAAGCUCGGAGAUAGCUGGUUCUCCUCGAAAGCUAUUUAGGUAGCGCCUCAUGUAUCACUCUGGGGGGUAGAGCACUGUUUCGGCUAGGGGGUCAUCCCGACUUACCAAACCGAUGCAAACUCCGAAUACCCAGAAGUGCCGAGCAUGGGAGACACACGGCGGGUGCUAACGUCCGUCGUGAAAAGGGAAACAACCCAGACCGCCAGCUAAGGUCCCAAAGUUGUGGUUAAGUGGUAAACGAUGUGGGAAGGCUUAGACAGCUAGGAGGUUGGCUUAGAAGCAGCCAUCCUUUAAAGAAAGCGUAAUAGCUCACUAGUCGAGUCGGCCUGCGCGGAAGAUGUAACGGGGCUCAAACCACACACCGAAGCUGCGGGUGUCACGUAAGUGACGCGGUAGAGGAGCGUUCUGUAAGCCUGUGAAGGUGAGUUGAGAAGCUUGCUGGAGGUAUCAGAAGUGCGAAUGCUGACAUGAGUAACGACAAUGGGUGUGAAAAACACCCACGCCGAAAGACCAAGGGUUCCUGCGCAACGUUAAUCGACGCAGGGUUAGUCGGUUCCUAAGGCGAGGCUGAAAAGCGUAGUCGAUGGGAAACAGGUUAAUAUUCCUGUACUUCUGGUUACUGCGAUGGAGGGACGGAGAAGGCUAGGCCAGCUUGGCGUUGGUUGUCCAAGUUUAAGGUGGUAGGCUGAAAUCUUAGGUAAAUCCGGGGUUUCAAGGCCGAGAGCUGAUGACGAGUCGUCUUUUAGAUGACGAAGUGGUUGAUGCCAUGCUUCCAAGAAAAGCUUCUAAGCUUCAGGUAACCAGGAACCGUACCCCAAACCGACACAGGUGGUCGGGUAGAGAAUACCAAGGCGCUUGAGAGAACUCGGGUGAAGGAACUAGGCAAAAUGGCACCGUAACUUCGGGAGAAGGUGCGCCGGCUAGGGUGAAGGAUUUACUCCGUAAGCUCUGGCUGGUCGAAGAUACCAGGCCGCUGCGACUGUUUAUUAAAAACACAGCACUCUGCAAACACGAAAGUGGACGUAUAGGGUGUGACGCCUGCCCGGUGCCGGAAGGUUAAUUGAUGGGGUUAGCGCAAGCGAAGCUCUUGAUCGAAGCCCCGGUAAACGGCGGCCGUAACUAUAACGGUCCUAAGGUAGCGAAAUUCCUUGUCGGGUAAGUUCCGACCUGCACGAAUGGCGUAACGAUGGCGGCGCUGUCUCCACCCGAGACUCAGUGAAAUUGAAAUCGCUGUGAAGAUGCAGUGUAUCCGCGGCUAGACGGCAAGACCCCGUGAACCUUUACUGUAGCUUUGCACUGGACUUUGAGCCUGCUUGUGUAGGAUAGGUGGGAGGCUUUGAAGCGUGGACGCCAGUUCGCGUGGAGCCAUCCUUGAAAUACCACCCUGGCAUGCUUGAGGUUCUAACUCUGGUCCGUGAUCCGGAUCGAGGACAGUGUAUGGUGGGCAGUUUGACUGGGGCGGUCUCCUCCUAAAGAGUAACGGAGGAGUACGAAGGUGCGCUCAGACCGGUCGGAAAUCGGUCGUAGAGUAUAAAGGCAAAAGCGCGCUUGACUGCGAGACAGACACGUCGAGCAGGUACGAAAGUAGGUCUUAGUGAUCCGGUGGUUCUGUAUGGAAGGGCCAUCGCUCAACGGAUAAAAGGUACUCCGGGGAUAACAGGCUGAUACCGCCCAAGAGUUCAUAUCGACGGCGGUGUUUGGCACCUCGAUGUCGGCUCAUCACAUCCUGGGGCUGAAGCCGGUCCCAAGGGUAUGGCUGUUCGCCAUUUAAAGUGGUACGCGAGCUGGGUUUAGAACGUCGUGAGACAGUUCGGUCCCUAUCUGCCGUGGACGUUUGAGAUUUGAGAGGGGCUGCUCCUAGUACGAGAGGACCGGAGUGGACGAACCUCUGGUGUUCCGGUUGUCACGCCAGUGGCAUUGCCGGGUAGCUAUGUUCGGAAAAGAUAACCGCUGAAAGCAUCUAAGCGGGAAACUUGCCUCAAGAUGAGAUCUCACUGGGAACUUGAUUCCCCUGAAGGGC
This 2808-nucleotide ribosomal RNA is filed under the name Pseudomonas aeruginosa. RNAcentral describes it as "partial 23S ribosomal RNA". It matches the Rfam family "Bacterial large subunit ribosomal RNA". Lineage: Bacteria; Pseudomonadati; Pseudomonadota; Gammaproteobacteria; Pseudomonadales; Pseudomonadaceae. The record is from RNAcentral.